CAAAGGAGAACAAAGGUGAUGAAUUUAAAAAAACAUGUUGAAACCAGCAGAGGACAACCCAAUAUUUUUCCCUACUGAUUCUGAAUAUGACUGGUUGUUGGCCAAGAUCUUCGUGAGAAGUGCAGAUUUCAACCUGUUUGAACUAAAUGCUCACCUGCUGCGCACUCACCUGCUGGCUGAGGUGCAAUGUCAGUGUUGCGUAACCUGCCCACGGUUCACCCUCUGUACAAGCUCCUCAUACCUCACACUCGCUACACUCUAAACAUCAACUUCUUAGCUCGGAAACUGCUAAUAUCUAAGAAUGGAGUUUUCACUCAGUUUACAGCUUCGGUGGAGAGGGUGUUUUCACAAUCCUGAAGAAAUCACUGUCCUCGCUGACCUACAGCUCCCUCUGUAUCCCCGAUGAUAUUGCGGAGCGUGGGCUGAAAGAUGUGCCAAACUUCCACUACAGGGAUGAUGGACUGAAGCUCUGGGACAUCAUACACAGGUUCUAUUGCCACUUUGUC
Long non-coding RNA from Oreochromis aureus, 506 nucleotides. RefSeq lists it as uncharacterized. The transcript is spliced from 3 exons. The record is from RefSeq and is a predicted model, not a curated record. NCBI's taxonomy places the organism in Eukaryota, Metazoa, Chordata, Actinopteri, Cichliformes, Cichlidae.